UAGGGAAUCUUCGGCAAUGGGGGGAACCCUGACCGAGCAACGCCGCGUGAGUGAAGAAGGUUUUCGGAUCGUAAAGCUCUGUUGUUAAGGAAGAACGAGUGUGAGAAUGGAAAGUUCAUACUGUGACGGUACUUAACCAGAAAGGGACGGCUAACUACGUGCCAGCAGCCGCGGUAAUACGUAGGUCCCGAGCGUUGUCCGGAUUUAUUGGGCGUAAAGCGAGCGCAGGCGGUUAGAUAAGUCUGAAGUUAAAGGCAGUGGCUCAACCAUUGUAGGCUUUGGAAACUGUUUAACUUGAGUGCAGAAGGGGAGAGUGGAAUUCCAUGUGUAGCGGUGAAAUGCGUAGAUAUAUGGAGGGGCACCAGUGGCGAAGGCGACUCUCUGGUCUGUAACUGACGCUGAGGCUCGAAAGCGUGGGUAGCAAACAGG
Molecule: ribosomal RNA, 429 nt
Filed under: Bacteroidota bacterium
Lineage: Bacteria; Pseudomonadati; Bacteroidota
Description: Bacteroidetes bacterium partial 16S ribosomal RNA
Rfam family: Bacterial small subunit ribosomal RNA
Source: RNAcentral